This is a non-coding RNA of Microcebus murinus (gray mouse lemur), 761 nucleotides long. The record is from RefSeq and is a predicted model, not a curated record. NCBI's taxonomy places the organism in Eukaryota, Metazoa, Chordata, Mammalia, Primates, Cheirogaleidae.
AAAUAGAAAAAUUAGCUGGGUGUAGUGGUGUGUACCUAUAGGCAGGAGGAUCCCUUGAACCCAGGAGCUUGAGGUCACAGUGGGCUAUGAUGAGACACCACCUGCACUCUAGCCCGAGCAACAGAGACCCUGACUCAAUAAAUAAAUAAAUAAAGGGAAAAGGUGACAACAAUAAUGUGCUCCUUACUCUACAAGUCAGCACUCUGCAAGCCAACUCCCUCUGCCCUGGUGCCUCUAAUACUUGAGAGGCAAGAACUAUCCAAUCGCUUUCUUUACUUCCAAGAUGGGCAUUCAGUUUCAAUGGCAGCUCAUCCCUGUGCCCUCUGUUCAGGCUCAGGCCUGUGUGAAAGGCUUUUGGUGAAAUUAUAAAUGCUGACUGAAGAGGGAGAGUUCUUCUGGGGCUGGAUUUGCAGAAGAGGGAGGUGAUUACUCCUUUAGGGAAGACUGAAAUAACUCCACAGAAAAUAGGACCAGCUGAAGGGAGUCAUGUUCUUUGAUUAUAAAGAAAGUGUCUACAAAGAGCCAUGGAGAGCUCAUUAGAUUGAUAGAAAUAUAAUCAGAAGAUCAAAGAAAUGAAGGUGCUGAAAUCCAAUGACACAAAACAACUUGAAGCAAAAAGCAACCAGAUACAGCUCCUAGAGAUUAUUGUAAGCAUAAUCAAAAGCCAGUUUAAAUAUUUAUCUUCUUGUAAUUUGUUAAAUGUCAACUAUUGUAAUCCCUCUUUAACAGAUGAGGAAAAUUAAACUCAGAGUGUUUCAAUA